This 148-nucleotide small RNA is filed under the name Macaca fascicularis (crab-eating macaque). Its description in RNAcentral is "Metazoan signal recognition particle RNA (ENSMFAG00000049503.1)". The record is from Rfam by way of RNAcentral. Lineage: Eukaryota; Metazoa; Chordata; Mammalia; Primates; Cercopithecidae.
GCCGGGCGUGGUGGCGAGUGCCUGUAAUCCCAGCUACUAGGGAGGCUGAGGCAGGGGAAUUGCUUGAAUCCGGGAGGUGGAAGUUGCAGUGAGCAGAGAUUGCACCACUGUACUCCAGCCUGGGCAACAGAGCGAGACUCUGUCUCAA